Molecule: long non-coding RNA, 8861 nt
Filed under: Marmota monax (woodchuck)
Lineage: Eukaryota; Metazoa; Chordata; Mammalia; Rodentia; Sciuridae
Source: RNAcentral
CUUUGGGAAAAAAAUGCCCAUGAAUGUUUUCUUUUUGCAUAGAGACCAUAUUAUAGAUGCUCUUCAGGAAGUAAGAGUAAAUCAUAACGGUUUCCUGAAUGGCUUAUCUAUUAGUACUAUUGUGGAAAUGACUUCAUCUGUUCUGAAAAACUCUGCUUCCAGUUAGGAAUAAACAAAGCAAUAAAGAGGUAAAGUAACCAUUUUCUUUGAUAUUUAAGUAUUACUAAAGCAUUUUAAGUUAUUGAUUUCAUUUUCUUUAGAAAUAAAAAGAAUAAUUUUAAAUUAAAAUAGUAACAUAAAAUACUAAAUUUAAAAACCAGUAUUGCAUUAAAUAACUAUUAAUUCAAAGCCUUAAAAUUAAUUAACUUAAACAUUUAUCAUCUCACAAUUUGCAGAUUGGAAUUCUUAGCUGGGUGGUUUUAGCUCAGAGUCUCACCAUGUUGCAUUCAAGAUGUUGAUCUGACUGUGGUAAUCCAGAGGCUGGCUGAGAUUGAAAGCUCAGCUUCUAAGAGGGUCCAUUCACAUGGGAGGCUUCAGUUGCUCAUCACAUGGACCUGCCUUUCCAUUAGACUCGUUGGAUGUCCUUACAUGUGGCAGCUGGCUUCCCUUGGGAAAGUGAGAGCACAAUGGAAGCAGCAUUGUCUUUUGUGGACUGCCCUUAGGAGUUGCAGUCUGUCAUUUUGCCACACUAUUAAAUGGGGAUCACUAAAUCUAAUCCACACUCAAGGGGAGGAGAAUUAAGCUCCACCUCUUGAACAAAGGCAACAAAGAGUUUGUGUAUAUUUUCUGAAUUUCUACAGAUUAACGUAGAAUUUCUUUUGCAAACUAGUGGAUCAGGUCUUUUGUUUCCAGCAUAAGGUAUCCAGGUAAUUCAAGCCAACUUUCUACUGAGAACAGCUAGAAGCUCAAUAUAUAUAUUUUUUAAAACAAUUUUUGUUUGAAGACAUUGAAGAGCUAUCAAUAUAAUGAUCAAUUACGUGGCUAAUGUACAGAAAAAAUAUUCUCAGAGAAAUAUGCUCAAUGUUUGGAACCAGUUUCUCCCUGGUAUUUGCUAAGGAGCAGCUAAAGGGACCCUUUUUGUAACGUUACAGCUAGAGGAAUGGAAACUUGGUAGACUUUGUAGGGGGUUGGGAUUCCAAAAGGCUGUGCUCUAGGAGUAAAUUUGAACUAGAACUAAUUUGUUUCUCAGAGGGGCUGUAACUCAGAUUUAGAAUUUAUUCCCUAGGUAGGAUUGAAAUGAUCUACAGUUAUUGCUUUUGCCAGAUAACUAAGAGAAAUUAAAAUAAGAAUUCUUUGUAAUAAAGUAAUACCAUUUUAGUUCUCAAAUUAUUUAUGCCAGAAUUUGAUACGUAAUAGUUUAUUUUGUGAAUAAGAGUGUACUAUAAAAAAUAAUCAUAAAGAAAUAAGCUCAUGUGAAUGAAAAAUAACUUUAAAAUGUGGUAUAUAUACAUAGUAGAAUAUUAUUCAGCCAUAAAAAAGAAUGAAAUUAUGGCAUUUGCAGUAAAUGAAAGGAUCUGGAGACUAUCAUGCUAAGUAAAAUAAGCCAAUCCCAAAACACCAAAGGCCAAAUGUUCUCUCUGAUAUGCGGAUGCUAACACCCAGUAAAGGUGGGGGAGAAGGGAAGAAUAAAAGUUCAUUGGAUUAGACAAAGGGGAAUGAAGGGAAGGAAGAAGGGAUGGGAAUAGGAAAGACAGUAGAAUGAAUGGAUACCUUUCCUAUGUUCAUAUAUGAAUACAUGACCAGUGAAACACUCUACAUCAUGUACAAUCACAAGAAUGGGAAGUCAUACUCCAUGUAUGCAUAGUUUGUCACAAUACCUUCUGCCGUCAUUUAUAACUAUAAAAAGAACAAAUAAUUUUUUUUAAAGUUACCUUAAGUACUAGAUAAUAGAAACUAACCAGAGAGAUUCUAGAUAUUUGUCAGAACCACUUUAAAAAAAAAUGCCUGGGACUAGGGAUGUAGCUUAGUAUGAUAGAUCACUUGCCUAGCAUGUGUGAGGCCCUGAGAUCAAUCCCCAGCACUGCAAAAACAAAAACACGUGCUUGCUGAGAGUGAUGGUUCAUGCUCAAGGCCAGCCUCAGGAACUUAGCAACAUCCUGUCUCAAAAUAAAUAAAUAAAUAACAGCUCAUUCUCCUGAGACACCAUCAAAAAAUUUUACAAACAUAAGAUUGUACAUCCAGGAAAAGAACCAUCAAGAAUAACAGUAAAAUAUUUUCAUGAAAAUAAAACUAUAGUGGGCAUGUUGGCAUAUGCCUAUAAUCCCAGCUCCUCAGGAAGCUGAGGCAGAAGUUGGAGGCCAGAUUGGGGAACUUAUAGAGACCCUGUCUCAAAGAAAAAUAAAAAAGGGGUAGGGAUGUAGCUCAAUGGCAGAGCACUUGCCUAGCAUGUGCAAGAUCCUGGGUUUAAUCCUCAGUACUGCAAAAAAAAAAAAAAAAUCUGAAAUAACUUGUUGCUUUAGAAGGAGAGACACUCUUAAAAAAUAAAAAUACUAAAGAGUGUUCAAGAAAGAAGGAAAGUGAUUUUAAAUGAAGGUUCAGAAGUGCAGGAGAAAUGAAUGUCAAAAAAGAACAAUUAUGUCCAUACUGACUGUAUAAAACAAGAAUAGUGGUAUUUUAUAGAGUCUAUAUGAUUAAAAUAUAUGACAAUACUAGUAUAUAUAAGUUGAGAGGGAAAUAAGUAUUCUUACUGUUUUAAGCACCUUGCAGUUGGGGAAGAGAGGAUAAAAUGUCUAUGUUAGGUUCCCAACCAUUCCCCCAGGCUAGAAGGACUCAGCAUGAAACAGUGUAUAGGUGUACACAUAGCUGUAACUUAUUAUAACAUGAUACAGAGCAAAAUCAACAAAGGGAAAAGACACCUGUGGUGAGUCUGGAGGAAACCAGAUGCAAACUUCUAGGGAGCCACACAGGGUGUGUUUGAUUUCUCCAUCUACUAGGGAAACUCAUUAAUGACUCAGGGCCCAAGGAUUUUAUUGGGGAUUGGUCAUGUAGGUACUCUGCCUACAUACCAUAGUCUACACUCAGAAAGAAAGCAGCUGUUUAGCAUAAACAGAUGUUUAUAUAAACAGUUUCAACACAGUGAGGCAGUCAUAACUUCUGGAAAGGGGAGGAACCUCUUGAAAUCCAGAUUUCCAGACACUAGCCAAGGGCCUACCUUGUAAGUAGAAUUUUCUAAAGACGGCACUCUUGGGUCUCUCUUGCUGUGUUAACUCUCUUUUCUACACAUGCUGUUUGAUAUGAGACUUUGAUAAACUAGCGAAUGCAUGUUGUAUUCUGCUGAGGGGCCUGCCCUUCCAGUAUUGACUGGGGAACUUGAGGGUGUGGAGAAACCCCUCUGGAGAUAGUUUCAGAGAACAGUGUCUGCUUUAUUGCACAGCAGAAAUAGCUUUUACAGAGGGUAUGUCUCAAUUUACAUAUAACAGUCAUGAUAGGCCAGAGGUGACACACCUCUUAAGGGAAUCAAGACACCAAGAGUCCAGAAACGGCCAUGUAGGCCAGCCUUGCAACAGCACGGGAAUAACUUCUUGUCAGGGGAGCAAGGAAAUGGCACUUGCCAGUGUUUUGACAGCACUUUGCCCCAAAACACAGCGUUCUAUGUUAGGACUUCCCUGCUGUAUAAUGAGCAAGAUAAGCAUUCCUCCGUGUAGGUCCAGGGUUAGGCCCUGCAACAGUAAUCUUUGGAGUAACACUUAAAAGAACAAAUCUUAAAAGCAUGCAAAUAUAGAGUUGGGUCUUUUACCUAUACCAUAUCCAAAUAUUAACUCAGAGUGGAUCAAAAACUAAAACUGUUCAUAGAAGAAAUGAGUACAGAGUUUCAGAUCGGGAAGAGGAAAGAGCUCUGGAGAUUGAUGGUGAUAAUGGCCAUACAGCAGUGUUAACAUACUUCAUGAGUGUGAACCUGCUGAACUGUACAUUUGAAAGUAGUAAAUUUUAUGUGUAUUUUACUACAAAAAGAAAAAAUAUAUAACUCCCAUGAUGAUACGGGUGAGGAAUUUGAAGUAUUAAAAAUAGUACAAAAGUAGUUUUUUUAAAAAAUAGAAUAAAAAGACACAGAGCAGUCAGGAUAAAUAGGAGGAACUUAGAUGAUGAAAAUGCAUUUAUUUCAGUAAAUACAAUUGUAGAUGAACUAAAAGACUUGAUAGAUCAACAGGUUAGAUUUUAAAAUGUCAACUACAAAUACAUAGUAUUUCUAGAUACCACCUAGAAGUAUUAGGAUAUGAAAAGGUAAGAGUCUGGAAAAAGAAAUAACUAUAUUAACACAAAAACAAAGCAAUAAAAUUAUCAAGAGAGAUGUUCCAUUUACCAGGAAUAAAUAAUAAUUCUAAGUUUGUGUACAUCUAAAAUACCUUCAAAAUAUAUAAGACAGAUAUUUCCAAAAUUGCCAGGAAAAAUGAUUGUAAGUCUGUGAUAAUAAUAGGAAGUUUUUAACAUAUUUCUCUUAUAGAAGCAAGCAAAAUGGGCUGGAUUGUGGCUUAGUGGUGGAGUGCUCGUCUAGCAUGCAUGAAGCACUGGGUUCAAUCCUCAGCACCACAUAAAAAUAAAAAAGAUAUUGUGUCCACCUAAAACUAAGAAAUAUUUUUUAAAAAGCAAGCAAAAAAUAUAUCAGUGAUGAUACAGAACAUCUGAACUACUAAAAAAUAAUCACUGGACUUAACUGGUCAUAUUUAGAACACAGUAUUCCCUAAAAUGAAAAAAUAAAUAAAGUGUCUUCGAGUCACCUGAAAUGUUUACAAAAUUUGACUAUAUACUAGACCAUAAAAUAAGUCUCAAAAAAUACUAAAAGAAUGAAAAAAGUAUAUUUCUGACCAUAAUACAAAUAACCUAGAAAUCAUUAAUGAGAAUAAAAAUAGGAAAACCCCAUGUUUUGAAAUACAUGUCUAACCAAUAAAUGAAGGAAUUCAUAAUUAAAACUGGACUAUAUGUUUUAGUGAAUGAUGAUGAAAAUGCUCCAUAUCAAAGUUUGUGGGACACAGAGCUGUGCUAUAACUGAAAUGGAUAGCUUUAAAUGCCUAUGUCAUAAAAUAAAUAACUGAAAAUUAAUGAGUAAAGUGUGCAAUUCAAAAAUUUGGAGAAAAAAGAAAAAGUAUAAGAAAGGAAGAAAUUAAACUCAUCAUCUGUAUGUACAGCUAAUUCUAUACAUAGGAAAUCCCAUGAAUUCUACACAUAGACUAUCAGAAUUAAAAAGGAUUGCUGGAUGCAAAGACAGUACACAAAAAAGUCAGUUGCAAUUCCACAUACCAUAUAAUGUCGGAAAAAUGGAUUUUUAAAAAAGAUAAUCAUAGUACCAUUAAAACUAUCAACUACCAGGAAUGUAUUUAACAAAAGACUCAAGACCUCUAUUUGAAAACUAUAAACAGAGAAAUUAAAGAAAUUCUAAACAAAUUGAGGGUUGUAUCUUCUGUCUGGAUUAGAAGACUCAAUAGUGUAAAGAUACCUGUUCUCUUCAUCCUGUCCAAUGCAUUUAGUGCUAUCCUGAUAAAAUCCUAAUCAUGUAUUUUUGUGGAACUAAAUAGCAAGCAGAUUCUCAAAAUUAUGAAAAUACAAAAGGUCAAGUAUAGCCAAAUGGUUUUUGAGAAAAAUAAAGUGGACUGGUUUUAUCAUAUGUUGAUGUUAUGAAAUGAUAAUAUUAUUUUUGUGCAAGGAAAGACAAAUAGAUCAACUGAACAGAAAAGAGAACUUUAAAACAAUGACAUAAAUAUGUAAUCACUUGAUUAGCAUGAAGGUGGCAUCACAGAAUAAUAGGGAAUAGAACAGUCUUUUUAAUAAAUGAUUUUCUCCAUCUGACAAGAAAUUUUCACCAAUCAGAUUGGUAGACAUUCUGCUGUUGGGACAGUCAGUGCAAAUGAAAGGAAAAUCAUCAGUGCCUUUAAAAGUCAUACAUGUAUUUACUUUUUGACCUAAAAAUCUCACUUCACCAUUCUGUCAGAAAUAAAUUGGCAGAUAUAAUGUCUCAUGCACAAGGUUCUUUGGCAGAAGAUUAGAAACAUCUACAUAUUGACUGUUAGACAAAAAUAAGAAAAGGUCUGAACACUAAUGGAGUAAACUUCUGUCAAUUUUGUUUAUGUAACUAAAUCAAGAGAAAUAUAUGCAAUCUACAUUUUAAAAGGGAGAAAUAUGAGUAUAGGUACACAUAUUUACUUUUGUUUGUAAGAAGAAACUGGAAGGAAAACCUGAUAAAAUGAUUGCAGGGAGAGGAUGAUAUAGUGAUAGAAACAAAAGGUCUCAUAUACAUUCUUGGUUUUGGAAACCUAAAUGUUUUCCAUUUGCUAAUAUAAAAGGAAAGAGAAAAUAAUUUUAAAUGAAAACAAAACUAAAAUGAAUGAAACUACUUGUAUAACCAUAUAAAAGAAAAUAAUUAUUGCAUUUAUUUUUUAGGUGUAGAUGGACACAACACAAUGCCUUUAUUUUUAUGUGGUGCUGAGGAUCGAACCCGGGUCCCGCCCGUGUUAGGAGAGCGCUCUACUGCUGAGCCACAAUCCCAGCCCCUAAUUAUUGCAUUUACAUGUUUAUUACAUUUUAACUAUUCUUCUAGAUAUAUCACAUAUUCUAAGUACAACUAGAGCUGUAAAGAAUCAUAAAUCAUAAUAGUAACAACACUUUGGAACUUUUUAAAAAUAUAUUUAUUUUUUAGUUGUAGUUGGACACAAUACCUUUAUUUAUUUAUCUUUAUGUGGUGCUGAGGAUCGAACCCAGGGCCUCACGUGUGCUAGGCAAGUACUCUACCGCUGAGCCACAACCCCAGCCCCAACACUUUGGAACUUUAUAUAGAAAACAUAAUUAUGUUAGAAACUGAUAUCUUUGGUAUACAAGAAGAAAGGUAUAAAAAUCAAAAGCUAAAUUUAAAUUUCUGUAUUAUUAAACUUGAAUUGAAAAUAAUAUUAAGUCAUGAUUCUGAAUUUCAGAAUUACCUGAUUGUAGUUUUAUCUAUUGAAAACACUCCAAAGCCAAUGAGAACCCAGCGACAUUGAGCACAACUAACAUCUAGAUUGUUUCUCUGAAUACCAUUUCCUACUACUUUUGUCUUUGAUCUUUCCAGCCACACAUUUAAAUAGUGCUUUAUAUUUACUUUCUAUCUUAACUAUCAUCUUGCUUUUAUCUCCAGUAAUCUGUUAAGUCUAGUCUUGAUCAUUUACAAAUUCCCAGAUAAUCAUUUUGUUACAUUUGUUACUCUUUAUGACCCAUUCCACUCUUAAAAUCAUUGUAAAAUUUAAAGCAAUCAAAAAUGUACAUAUUUUCACAUAUGUGUGCAAAAGUCUAUAUACCAGGUCACGAUAUAUAAGGUUUCCCGCACCCCAGAAGGCUUCUAUGUGCCCCUUCUCAAUUAUUACCCUGUAUACCACUAUUAACCUUUUUUUGACUUUUGGAUGCUGAGAAGUCAGCUGAAAUAAAAUUUCCUGCCUUCCAGGAACCUGAAUUCUAGAAAGGAAAAGGAAAUAAAAAUAUAUUUUCAAAUAAUGAUACAUUCUACAAAGUAGAAUCAUGGGCUACAAAAUAAUGAGGGACAGGAUGUAUGUCUACUAAGGUAGCUUAGGUGCUUUACAAUGAUAGAAGAUGACACCUGACCGAAUUGGAUUUUCUGUUAAAACACUGUUAAUAAUUGCUUUUUUUCUGUAAACAAUGUCUGAAAAGUUUUCUGUGUAUAAUAUCUGGCAUCCUUCAAUCUAAUAAUAGAGCUUAUUGAUAUAAUAAAUCAAGUAAUAGAAUUUAAUUGUGAAUUAACACAUACGAUAUUCAUGUAUAAGUGAGUCUUGAUAAGUUUAGUAGUAGUGUAUACUAAUAACUAAAUAUAUGCUUUCCUAGAAUAUUAGGUUUAGCAAAAUCAAUAUAUUUCAUUGUUGAUUUUUCCCUUCUGUUCUUAACCCUAUAGGAUUUCCAUGGAAAUCAGAGUGCCCUUCUUCAGAGAAUGUUCUGCAGCACUUAGAAAAAAGUUAUGGUAAUAGCAAGAUACAAUUAAAUAACCUCAGUAACUAGCCUUAGCUGUUAAAAUAUUUUACUUCAUAUCCCUCCAUAAUUUUAUCUUUUUAAACUUUAUUUCAAACUUGUUACUUAGAGACUUAAAACUGCAUAUUUUGGAUCAGAAAAAAGGUCAUGUCCAUUUUUAAAAAACCUUUGAUAAGUCAAUUUAAAAAAAAAAACUGACCUAGAAAAGGUUUAUUGAUAUCGUUUCAUAGUUCAUUAACUGAUAUCCAUACAUAAAACUGUAAUUUACCUUAAGUUCAUAUAUUAGCUGCAGUUUUUAAAUGUCUAAAAGACCCUUAAAUUGGACCAUAAGAUAAUAGAUAGUUUGAAUUUAUAGAAAUAGAAAAUAUUGUCACAUUUAUUUUUAAGCUCAAAGACAAGUAAGUCACUGCUGUGAUAUACUUAAUGCAUAUUUCCAACUUCAGUAUGAAACAUUCAAUUGUAGUUUUCCUGUUUUCACAGAGAAGGGUGACCCAUGUGUGCUUUGGUCUAGUACUGAAAUUUAAAUGGUUAUCAUAUUGCUUGCACCUGUUCUGUGAUAAGUUCUUUUGUAUUAGUGUAUAAAGUGGAACACUUUUCAAAGGCUAAUUUGGUUCCCUAUCUGAUAGGAAUAUAGGAUAUAAACUUCUUUAAUUGCUUGCUUUUUUAAAGUACCAAAUAUGUACUUCUUAAAGUUACAUGUUUAAUAAUAAUAAGUGUUUAAAUGUUUAGAGCAUCCAGUGUAUAGUUGGUGUUACUUGAUUACAAAUUUCCCACUUAACAUUUAUAUUUGAUGUACUUAAAUUUAAUAAAGGCAGCUAAUCUAUAAUUCCACUGUAAAUCUAAUACUUUCUGGAAGUGCAAUGGGAUUGUCCAAGUGUGAAUUAACCUCCCAGUGUUAUGUGGACUACAUAGGGCGGUAAGAC